RNAcentral lists this non-coding RNA (82 nucleotides) under bovine gut metagenome. RNAcentral's name for it is "S10-Clostridia ribosomal protein leader". It matches the Rfam family "S10-Clostridia ribosomal protein leader". The record is from RNAcentral.
AGCUAUGAAGCGAGAGGUUGCUGUCAGGACCCAAUGGCAGGUAAUUCCGUGGAGCAAAUGUCAGACACGAAACUGGCGACAA